Molecule: non-coding RNA, 1860 nt
Organism: Myodes glareolus (Bank vole)
Lineage: Eukaryota; Metazoa; Chordata; Mammalia; Rodentia; Cricetidae
Source: RefSeq, a predicted model, not a curated record
AAGUCAAGUAAGUGUUGACUGAGUCUAUCAAUUUGUAAGUCCAAACAACUUCCAGAUGGUUCUAACAACAGUCAAAGUAUCUUGGAUUUGAUUAGUGCCUUUCAGUUUACAAAGCAGUGACCAUCUGUGUCCUCAUUUCAAACCUCACAGUGCAGUCUGUCAAAGAGGCAGGCCAGAGGUCACCAGCUCCAUUUCCUCGAAGAAGAGACUGAGCCCCGGGAAAGAGAAACAAAACCAAUUAACAGAUGCGCCUGGUAACCCCAAUGAUAACCCAGUGUUUCCAGCUGAUGGCUUGGGACUGGUCACGUGAGACCUGUUACCCUGGGCUUCCCUCAGUGACAAAAGUAUCACGGCUGAUCAUUACAGUGGCUAUUUGCUGAGGAUUCAUCUUCAAUGCUAAACAAAGAUACAGCUUAUCCCUAAUCCUCACAACGUGCAAGGCAUCACAGUCUAAGAAAAAGCAACUCUUCUAAAAGGUUCUUGAAUUAACAACACCAAGCCCAUGGAAGACACAGUCUGACUUAUUGGCAAGGUCAGUGAGUAAGAGGGGCUGUUUGCUGAAAUAAAUUCCACCGGUUUCUUUGUUUGGUUUCUCCUUGAUGAAGUACAGCCGGUGAGCCUCAAAUUCCUUUGCAAGAGGAGGUGAAUUCUGCAUAUCGAUUAUUAGGGGUCUACUGGGUACCAACACUAUACAGAAAGGGGAGAGAGGGCAUUGUGAUGAGCUCAAGACUGAGGAGGGCUGGACACCAGAGAUGCCUGUCUGCAUCUGCUAAGCAUUUUCCCAGAGCUCUCGACUGGAACAGUUCCUCAGAAAAUGGCUCUGGACAAGAAGGGAAGGGCCACCAUAAGGGUUAAAGGAGAGAAUCAGUCUUAAAUGGUGACUCAGCAUGAUGCCUUUUUUCUUCGAGAACUUGCUUCUCACUUCACUGGAAGCAGCGUCACAUAGCAUACCCUACGACAGCGUCGAGCCCGCGUGCUCUGCCUUCCUUCCUUUGAUCUAGACGACAUCUGCCAUGCUGUGCAUGCAGCCUUCUCCCCGGCGUGAUGGGUCCUCACUCUAAUGCGGCAGGAAGAUACCCUUAGUAUGUGUGUCCUCUUCUGCAUCACAGAGAUGUCUCUUUCUUUCUUCCCAUUAUGAUGUGAACGUGGCAUUAAUAUUUCAUCAUCUAAAUGAACCCUUCCUUUACUCUCCCCCUCAAAAACUCCCUCUUUUCUUUGCUCCCUAUUUAGCAACACUCCAUAUCGGCUCCUAACCGCCUCUUUUUGGAAACGCAAUUUGAAAGUGAAACCAAGAUAUUCCGUUUUAGUAGAUCUUGAGUGAAGUCCAGAUAUUGCAUUAGAUGUUUUUAAGAUUCCUUUGGUGAGUGGGUUUGAGACGCAGAACUAUUAACUUCAGAUUUCAGGUUAGAACGAUUCCUAACUGAAGAUGAAACUGAAAUUCUUCAUUUUCCUGGAAGGCAAUAUCUGAGAACAUUCCCUGUAGAAGACAUAUUUGGCUUGCCAGAAGUGGGGUCGUGAUGGGAAAGCUCUUGUGCCUUCCUAUUAUUUCUGUGUGUGUGACUGCCAUGGAAAUCUGGAGUGAGUAACAGGAAAUCUCAGCCUUGUCCCUAUAGGCUAAUGUUUGCGUUUCCAGUGGGAAGCAAGUUGGGACAAAAACCAUGGGAGGGAGAAGCGGGAAAGUGUAAGAACUUUGGUGGGUUGGGUCUGCUUUUCUGUGGGCUGUGUUUUUCAGUCGUACAUGGAUGAGGUUGGUAUAUGUUGUCACAAACCCUCCGUGAUGGUAUUAAAACUUUGCACUUCCUGAGGUAGUUGUUUAAGGAAUAUGUAUUGAGCAAGUAAAAUAUGAAGAUGUAUUGCUUA